RNAcentral lists this ribosomal RNA (540 nucleotides) under uncultured Bacteroidota bacterium. RNAcentral's name for it is "bacterial SSU rRNA". It matches the Rfam family "Bacterial small subunit ribosomal RNA", at positions 54 to 590 of the family's 1533-position model. Lineage: Bacteria; Pseudomonadati; Bacteroidota. The record is from RNAcentral.
CAUGCAGUCGAGGGGCAGCACUGGUAGCAAUACCUGGUGGCGACCGGCGGACGGGUGCGUAACACGUAUGCAACCUACCCUGUACAGGGGGAUAGCCCGAAGAAAUUCGGAUUAAUACCCCAUACGAUAAGAAUCGGCAUCGAUUUUUACUGAAGGCUCCGGCGGUACAGGAUGGGCAUGCGCCCCAUUAGCUAGUUGGUGAGGUAACGGCUCACCAAGGCUACGAUGGGUAGGGGGCCUGAGAGGGUGAUCCCCCACACUGGAACUGAGACACGGUCCAGACUCCUACGGGAGGCAGCAGUAAGGAAUAUUGGUCAAUGGGCGCAAGCCUGAACCAGCCAUGCCGCGUGCAGGAAGACUGCCAUUAUGGUUGUAAACUGCUUUUAUAUGGGAAGAAACCUCCGGACGUGUCCGGAGCUGACGGUACCAUGUGAAUAAGGAUCGGCUAACUCCGUGCCAGCAGCCGCGGUAAUACGGAGGAUCCAAGCGUUAUCCGGAUUUAUUUGGGUUUAAAGGGCGCGUAGGCGGCGUGUUAGGUCA